Molecule: non-coding RNA, 129 nt
Organism: Xyrauchen texanus (razorback sucker)
Lineage: Eukaryota; Metazoa; Chordata; Actinopteri; Cypriniformes; Catostomidae
Source: RefSeq, a predicted model, not a curated record
GUGGUUUGUCCUUGUAUAACUGCUGAGCUGAGAAGUGCUGCCAUCCUGGACACUACACAGACUGAUGCUGGUUCCUGCCGACAGGUCCUGUCGAGUGCUCAGGGUCCCUGUGUGAUGGUCCCACACAAA